AGCCUUCUAUAUCCGUGCUGAGAUUUCGUCACGCACCAUACCACAAGGGCUAAUGAGACUCCCAAGAUAAGUGAAGCG
Non-coding RNA from Schistosoma mattheei, 78 nucleotides. Lineage: Eukaryota; Metazoa; Platyhelminthes; Trematoda; Strigeidida; Schistosomatidae. The record is from Rfam.